UUUCUCUGCCCCGAUUAUGACCUCAUGGAAUGACCAGUAGAUUUCCCAAGAGGAAUGUGAAGGAACUGGUUGCCCUCUAAACAUGGCCAGGACCACCACGGGGUCCAAGUUACCACUUUCAAUCAAUUACAAAGUGCCCGUUCUCUACCAUCUAAGGCAAGCACAAGCGCUGGAGAGGACAGCAGCACAGGUGGAAACAAUGGAGAAGCAAAAAGUGAUGUGAGGGCAAGAGCCGAGAAGAAAAGAACCCGGGGGAUGUAAAGCAAAAAAAGAUUUAGAAACUCUUCGAGUUCGGCGAGGGCUGGGAGACCUGAAAACUAUUUCAAGAAGGAAGACGGAAGCAAAGAGGCAAGGGCCUGCAGGCGAGAGGCCCCACCCCUAAGCCCUCGGGCAGACAGCCCCGCCCCCGAGGGGAGGAGGGACUUCCUCCCUGCGGGCAGCUGCUUCCGGUGGAGUCCGGAAGACGCUAUCGGGAAGGGACUAAAACUGCGCAGCCAAUCGGGGCGACACUUUCGUCUUACCGGAGGACUCGUGGGUAACUUGCUCUUGGGAACCAGCACCAUGGCGUCUGGCUGCAAGAUUGGCCCGUCCAUCCUUAACAGCGAUUUGGCCAAUUUAGGGGCUGAGUGCCUCCGGAUGCUGGACUCUGGGGCCGAUUAUUUGCACCUGGAUGCACCCUGCUCUUCAGGGAGGUCAGUUUUUUUGCAUUUUGUUCCCAACAUCACCUUUGGGCACCCUGUGGUAGAAAGCCUCCGAAAGCAGCUAGGCCAGGACCCUUUCUUUGAUAUGCACAUGAUGGUGUCCAGGCCGGAACAGUGGGUAAAACCAAUGGCUGUAGCAGGAGCCAAUCAAUAUACCUUUCAUCUUGAGGCUACUGAGAACCCUGGGGCUUUGAUAAAAGACAUUCGGGAGAAUGGGAUGAAGGUUGGCCUUGCCAUCAAACCAGGAACUACAGUUGAGUAUUUGGCACCAUGGGCGAAUCAGAUAGAUAUGGCCUUGGUUAUGACAGUGGAACCUGGGUUUGGAGGGCAGAAAUUCAUGGAAGAUAUGAUGCCAAAGGUUCAUUGGUUGAGGACCCAGUUCCCGUCCUUGGACAUAGAGGUCGAUGGUGGAGUAGGUCCUGACACUAUCCAUAAAUGUGCAGAGGCAGGAGCUAACAUGAUUGUGUCUGGCAGUGCCAUUAUGAGGAGUGAUGACCCCAGAUCUGUGAUCAACCUGUUAAGAAAUGUUUGCUCAGAAGCUGCUCAGAAACGUUCUCUUGAUCGAUGAAACCGUGAGGAGUCCAGUGUUUACGCUCAUGAAAUCUUUCUCCUGGAAAACAAGAAUAUCGACUACCAAAACAUACCACGGUUGAAGCAGGGCUGUUUCUCUGAGCAGCUGUUCAUUCCAGUGACUAAAAUCUAUCCUGCAGAAUGUUCCAGGAGGUUAGAAAUUGCAGAACCAGAUGGCUGAGGAUAUUCUGGACGUUAUGGAUUUUGACCCCAAGGAUAUAUAUUAUAUUAACCCAACAAAGACCAGUAAGGCUUCUGUGUCUUCAUCCUUCAGCGGAAAAGUCCGUCGUUCCCACCACAAAGACUGAAAGAAAGAGAAAACCUUUUCAGUUAAGUUUCAACUAAUUUGUUUAAAGUUCAUGUAUCCAAUAAUCCUUAAAUGUCAACUGUGUAAUUAUUGUUUGGUUCUUUAGCACGUCAAUGUACACAUUUUUAUUUGGGCCUAAAGAUCUAGCAACUCCAGUGGAACAUACUGGCAAUUGUUUAGAGACCUUUGGGAACUAUCUUUCCACUUCACCCUUCCACAAAGAGGAAACACCGCUAUAAGGCACGGGUCUUCCUUAUCAGCACAGGAGUGCUUUGGGAAAAGCCCCUUUAAAGGUGUUUGAUCUACUUGAGUGUCUCCAUUUCCAUCCCAUAACUAUCACAGACACCUAUUGACUUUUCCUUCCCCGAGCUUUCUACGACUUGCCUAUUGAUUUUUAUAGUUUCUGCUCUGUGUUCUAGAUACAGUUCUUCUUUUUCAACACCUACUUAUGAAGAACAAUGCAAAAAUUUAUAGAUGGUGUGUUAGAAAUCAUUCCCUGUGAGGUAAGAACUGGAUCCACAGGGAGACAGGUAAAAAUCUGUUACGAAGGGAAGAGAACUAGCUGACAUUUGCUGUGUGCCAGGUGCUGUUCUCUCUAAUCAGAUUUGUGUCGUCAUGAAACUUGGAUAGAAUCCCCAUUUCCUAACAGAUAAGUGAGUAGGUGGAGUUAGAUACUGACCUGUUCUACGAAAAGAUAAGGUGUGUAUGAUUAGUGACAGAACUAGAAAAUUUGUACCCAGCAGUUAACGCUGGAUUGUUAUGCUGAAUUCAUUAAUUGGCAACCAGCAGGUUUCUACAAACAGGUUUUCAAAAGGGUAAAAGGCAUUGAAAAAGAGGUGUCACGUAUAUCAUACUUACCUUGAGUUCUUGACUUUGAUUUAAGGAAGGUGAGCCCCGUGUGCCCAGAUCCUGGCUCUGCGGAGAAGGCUCGGCAGGACUCUCGGCAGCACGGUGCUGACCACCACCAAGGUCGUUAGGGUAUUCUUUCAAGAGCAAGUCCUGUCCUUCAACGUUUCUACUGUAAGCUCUAGCAAGAAAAUCAAGAAAAUAUUUAAUUACUAUUUCUUGAGGUCUUAAUGUUUUAUGAACGACCCCUAAGUCCAUUUAACUUGGUAGCUUUUCUUUAAACAGUUCUGCCCAAAAGAUUUCUAAAAAUUCAUCUGUCAAUCUUCCUGAUGCUUUCUCAAAGACUUAAACAGUAUGUUAUGAAUACUAUUUUGUGAAACUGCCAAAUUAUAAUAGUGGGUUUCGGGUUUUCAAGGAGGGAGUUUUUGUUGUUUUAUUUUUAAAUAAGAAAGGAAUGUUACUUGACCCUUACAGUCUUUCAGAGUUCCCAGAGUAUUCUAAGACUAUUAUAAUGUCAUCCAUGUAAGACUCGAUUCACAUUUUCCUCUGUACUUCUAGAAAAUUAUCUCUCUGGAAUGUGGAGAAAGAAGACAAUUGAGUCUUAUAUGUGUGUUAAGAUAACUCUUGGAAUAAGGAUCUACAAGAAAUCGGGAUAUUUUCAGACCUAAAGAGAGAAAUGUGUUUUCAAAAUACAGUUGAGGGGCGCCUGGCUGGCUUAGUAGAGCAUGUAACUCUUGAUCUCGGGGUUGUGAGUUCGAGCCCCACAUUGGGUGUAGCGAUUACUUAAAAGUACAGGCUGACCCUUGAUGAACACAGGAGUUGGGAGCACCAACCACUUUGUGCAUUCAAAAAUUCACAUAUAACUUUUGACUCCCUCAAAACUUAACUAUUAAUAGCUGACUGUUGAUCAGGAAACCUUACCAGUAAUAUAAACCAGUCAAUUCACACAUUUUGUAUAUGUAUUAUAUACUGCAUUCUUACAGUAAAGUAAGCUAGAAAAAUGAAAUUUGUUAAAAUCGUAAGGAAGAGAAAAUACAUUUAUAGUACUGUACUAUUAAAAAUCUGUGUGUAAGUGGGCCCACAUAGUUCAAACCACAAAGUUCAAACCUGUGUUUGAGGGUCAACUGUACUAAGUAAAUGAGAGGUGCCCCCACACUAAAUUUAGUGACUACCCAGACUUCAUGAUCUUCCUUUCUGAGUUUCGGCUAUAUUAAAACACAGUGAAAUGUAAAUAUAAAAUACCAUGGACUUUCUCAAAUAUAUAAUUACUAAUUACAUUCUCAGGAUUUAAUCCUCCCUCCCCAAAAGUCAUAUUCAAAGUAUUUUAGACCAGGUGCUUUUUGUCUUUUAAUUUUUUUAAAUGUUUACUUAUUUUGAGAGAGAGAGGCAGAAUACAAGCAGGGGAAGGGCAGAGAGAAAGGGAGACAUGGAAUCCAAAGCAGGCUCCAGGCUCUGAGCUGUCAGCACAGAGCCCGACGCAGGGCUGGAACCCAUGAACCUUGAGAUCAUGACCUGAGCUGCAGUCAGUCACUUAACCGAUUGAGCCACCCAGGUGCCCUAGACCAUCUGCUUCUUAGACUGGUUUUUUGAGAACAUUUUUUUUUAAAAAAAAUGUAUUUUUUAAGUGGGUAUGUUAAAAUCGAUCACCAAGAUUCUAAUCCCUAGUGUAAGGUCUGCUAUCACAGUACAAUGAGAUGAUCUACUUUAGGGAGAAUUUUCACAUUAUUUGCUGAGUUAAAUCUGUUCCUCAGGCUGACAGUAAGCAUGAGAAAUAAGAGUGGAGGAAAAUACAGAAACUCAUUUCAUUACUCUGUAAUUAGCCAAAAUGUAUAUAUAUAUUUAUUUUGACAGCACGAGUGGGGGAGGGAGACAGAAUCCCAAGGAGGCUUUGCGCUAUCAGUGUGGAGCCCAACGCAGAGCUCAAUGUCACAAACCUGUGAGAUCAUGACUUGAGCCAAAAUUAAAAGAGCUGGACGCUUAACUGACUGAGCCAUCCAGGAGCCCCAGCCAAAAUAUAUUUUGAAUGUAAGCUCAGUAAAUGCAAUGUUUCCCUCCUGUGCACAAAUAACUGAUGUUAUACAGUAUAUACUUUUUCCUUUCUAGUGGUCUUCCUCAAUAUUCAUGCAGCAUUUUGUUAAUUCUACAUGGAUUUCAUGGGUUUGGCUUUUAAAUUGAUAACACCUGCCUGCUGUUUCUUCUGUGCCACUUGCUUUGUUCCCAUAGUGACCAUCUGGCUUGCUCUCUCUCUUCAUAUUUUUUGUGUCUUAGGGAGAAGACUUCAUCAGAAAGAUCUUCUACCUGGAAUUAGAAAGAAAGUUUUUCUUUUAUCAGAAACAUUUUGAAAUAGAACAAUUUCUCAUCAAGAGAAUAUAGGAAGAAAACUCUAAAAUUGAACUUCAAAUUCGAAAAUAGAGGGAGUGAACUUUUUUUUUUUUAAACUUUUUUACUUCUGGGUCAUAUUGGAAGACUUAACCUAGAUUACAGAUAGGUUCACAGUGCUUUGUAUAAAAAAUUCUUAAUGCUUAAUUCAUUCAAAGGUUUGUAUUUGAUUGCCCUUUAUGGAAUACACUGUUCUCUUAACAUGUUAAUAUCAAAGUAAAACUGAAAAAAAAGAAGAUUAAUUUAACUAAUGAGUUAUCAGAGGUUCUAAGACUCUGGUGGUAGUGGUUUAAGAAUUUGGGUUUCCUGGCCAGAAUCAUUCUGAACUAGGGAAGAGUGCAUUGAAAAGUUGAUUUGGUAGCUGAAGAACAGUCAGCGGGCCUAGAAAGAGUAUGACAGAGACAAAAUGUCUUACAUAAUACAGCUUCUACAGAUCAUCACUUUCAAAUUGAUUUGGUUACACAUUUUUCCCUGAAAUUAUGCUUGUCUUAAUAGAAGUUUUACCCAUACAGGCUCACAGUCCCUUUCCUUCAGUUCUAAAAAUCUGAAAAAACACGUGUUCAUAAUUCAUUUGGUGACAUAGCCUGUUCUGGAAUGAUGAGGUUAUUCCAAUUUCUAUAAAUAUUUCCCUAUAGAAACAUUAAUAUUUGAUUAUGAGAACUAUGCUAGACUCCACAUAUGUCUUCUUUCUUAAGUCCAAAGUUUUCCAAAUUCAAAAGCAACCUGUUCCCAAGGUUUUGAAUAUGGCAUUGUAGGGUUGAAUAUUAAGACCACAUCUCCUUAAACAGAAAAACAGGACUAAUAACUGGAAAUGAAUAUAGAUAUUAACAUAAAUUCAGUGUUUCAACAGUUCAUGUGAGCAACUGACAUGUUUUUCUUUAUAUGUUACUGUCUUUGCAAAUCUAAAUUUGCACAAAAACAUUUUCCUAAUGAAGUUAAUAUCCUUAAUGAAGUUUCUUUUCCUAAGUGAAAAACAAGUCAAUGUAUGCUAAAGGGCUUAUAUUUCCCUUGAGUUCCUCAAGUCCCAGAUUAAGUAGGCUUCGUAAUGUAUACAGUGCAGUUAUCUGUAACUGAAAGGCAACUUACCUCUUCACCUACGUUAUAUUCAUCCAGAGGCUGAAGAACAGCCAUUCUCCAGCUGUUGAAGAUACAAACCAGUUUCAGCUUAUGUUAAUCUAAGUGUAGCAAUUGUAUUCUCUAAGCACAGCUAAUGCAGUAGUGUUUUCUUUCCUUGGGACUUGCACAAUUCAAAUGGUUGUAUUUUCAUACUUUAUUUUUUUAAAGAGAAAAAUUUGUAUUAUGAAAAGAAGAUGAGACUUUUGGCCUUACAGUGAAUAACUGUCUCUUCUGUGUAGCUGCAUUUUAUACCUAAGAAUAUACUAAUUUUGAAUUAAGUCAAUAGAUGGUGAUACAGUGGCAGGAAGAAAAAACAAAAACAAAAAAUCCCUCACUUGAGCAUUUGGCAAUUUCUUUGUGUGAAGACACCCGGCAUGGCCUCUUGAGUUUAACCACUGGAUCACAGAAUUCCUCUAUUUAAACAACUAACCCAGCCAGCCAGCUGCAGCCUACCAAUGUCAAUUGAAAAAACAUCGUUGCUGCAGAACAUCAUAACUACAAAUGGUACUCUGCUUCUGCAGAAUGUCUCAACAAGUUCUCUGUGGGAUUUCUCAUAAUACCUCCUAGAAUAGUAAGAGUUCUUAAUACCUCAAAGCAAUUAGGAAUAAGAGAAUUCGAAAUCAGCUAAUAUAGAGAGGGGCAGGAAUUACUGUAGUUGUCACUGAGCUUAUGUCUGUUUCCACCCUCUUCUGUCUACUUUCUGGUGCCAGAUUCACAUUCUGAAGAAACUGCUUUCAUCAUUGCUAAAAAACAAAACAAAGGAAGACUUUGACUAACUUCACUGCCACUAGGAAGCAGAUCUGUGUAUGGCAUUCAGGGACCUCCAUAAUCCGGUUCUAAUUUCUUUUGUAGCCAUAACUUCAUCACCCUAUACAAAAACUUGGUCUCUAGCUUAGGCUUGCACACUUACCUGUGUGCCUUUGUUGUGGUUUCCCUGUGUGAAUAAACUUUCUUCUUUUUCCCUCCUUCGUGAUGCCCCACUAAUAUCAUGUAUGUAUUGCUGACUUGGCAAUACAUCAGAAUCUUAUUUUUGUGGUCAUAGGUGUUACUGUCUUGCAGUGAAUACCCCUUGCAAAGGUAGUUGCUUUCUUUGAACCCUUUUUGCAGUCAUUUACAGAACUGCAUGUUAAAGAGCAAGGGUUUUUUAUUACUCAGCUUUACAUCCCUAAAUAGCCUUUAGUGCCAUAUAUACAUAAAAGGUAACUAAACAUUGAAAAAAAGACUUAAGAGCGUUAGAGUAAGUUAAGUCUUAGGAAUUCCCAAUUCUUAAUAAAAACUGAGAGGCAGGGUGAUAAUAUACGGCACUUUUUUUCAGCAUGAGUAAUGUAAAGGUUUCUUUCACCGUUCUCCCUUCAUGGUUCUCUAAGUAGAAGACAGGAGAGAGGAACAUCUUCCUUUCAUUAAUUAAAAUUUUAACUUCACUUUGAAAAUUUAAGUUUACUCAAGAAGGAAGAGAAAAUAAAAAGAUGUAAGUAUACAUACCUUGGAGUAAGUAUUUCCUUAUAUUGGAGUUUCUCCAACUUAGCUGGGGCAACUAAUGACAUGGGAAUCACGAUAUUAUCUAUGUCAUAAGAGCUCUCGCUUCUCAAUCUCCGUCGUGCAGUAUUCUGCAAGGUAGGAGGACAGCGACUCAACAACAGAAUCUCGUUACCUGUGCUGAUGCCCUCCUUUCAUGAGGGCUAGAAGAGGUGUACUGCAUACAUGUUUUAUAAAUACGUUGUGAUAGAGUGGACUAUAAAAUGUUAAAAACAAGCACACCUCUCCUUUGUAAAACAACACAAUCCCUUUGGCAGGUGUGAAGUGUACAUUUGUGUACACAUACAAGCCUAUUUUUAAGACCAUAAAAAAUAGGAAUACCUUAAAAUGUCAAACUCUUACCAGAGGUUACCAUAAAGCACCCAAAUGUCAAGGAAAUGAUCAUUUAACAACCACACUUAUUAGGAAAGAAUAUGAAAUAUUUGGUGUACCAUUUAGUAAAGAUCAUUUUUUAUAAUCUUUAUUUGUGUGUUCCUGGUCCCUGAGCUUUACAGUUUCUUCUAAACCCUUUCACCUUUUAACCCCUACUCUGACCAGAUGACAAAACAGUAAGAACAACACAAGUGCUGGAUUCUUAUUAGCAAGACUAAAUUUAGCUUCCUGGUAAGGAGUAGGGAUGGUUAUGAUAGUUUCUCACAGGAAAAACCAAAAAACUAUAAUCAAGGAUUACUGAGCAAUUAGCUCACUAGUAAAAAAGUUAAAUACAGUUUAUUGCUUCCUAAGAAGAUCAUUUUAGGGGCGCCAGGGUGGCUCGGUCAGUUAGGCAUCUGAAUUCAGCUCAGGUCAUGGUGUCAUGAUUCAUGAGUUACGAGCCCCGCAUCAGGUUCCCUGCUGUCAGCACAGAGCCCACUUCGGAUCCUCAGUCUUCCCCUCUUUUGCCCCUCCCCACCUUGCUCGCUCGCUCUCUCCCUUUCUUUCAAAAACCACAAAAACCGGGCCGGUAUGUACAAGUAAAAUAAGGCUAUUAAAGAAUAACAAAAUACUCUAUACGUUUUUUUACUGGCCAGUUUUAAAAAUCUACAAGCAAUUUUAGGGUUCAGUAUACCAAAAAACCUACUUGUGAUGAUGAAUUCUGGGUUCUUGAUAUAACAUUGACAUUAGUAACAGCAGUAAAAUUGCUAUGGGAUCCUGGUUCUGUGCGUUGAAAAGCAAAUUCUUCAAAUCUAGUUCUUUCUCCUGCCAUGGAAAGAACCAUUGAGAAUGUCAUACAUUAAACAUGGUGAUAGGUCUUAAAAUUACUUUCCUAAUUGGGUAACAUUCCUUAUCUGUUUGAUCUUUUUAUUUUUAAAACUUAUGUAUCAAAAACAAAAAAUUAAGGAAAUGAAAAAAAUCUUACCCACAGUUCUGUCACAAUUAUUUCCAUUUACUUUUAAUCCAGUACCUCUAAUUUCUUUAAUCUCCCUUCUCUUCACUCUGUUCAUGUUUUCUGUAAUGCCUAUUAUUUGGAUGUUAACAUCCAAAGACUUACCCCCUUAAUUUUCUCUGUGUUUUUCAUUUUGACUUUUUAAUUUCUGGGAGAUUUCCUUUCCUUAACUUGAUCUUCUGACCAUUCUACUGAGACUUUGUCUGCUAAUACAUUAAAUUAUUAAUUUCUAAUUACAUAGGAAAAUAUUUUUCCAUUUGUUUUGAUUCCCUAAUUGUGAAUAUAUAUUUAUUCACUUAUUUUCUGCCCUUAUUUUACUUUAGUACUGAUCUUAAAAAGUAUUCUGUGUAACAUAAAAUUUAAUACCCAGUCCAUACUUAUAUUUUUCUAGUUGUUAAAAAAUGUCCUUUAUGGUUAGUAGUUUCUUCAAAUCAGGAUCCAUAUAUUGAAAUUAGUUACUGUCUUUUAAGUUUCUUACAAUCUAGAAGAGUUUGUUUUUCAUGAUAUUUGUUAAAGAGACCAGCUACCUUGCUCUUUCGGGAGUUACCUAUUUACUUUGUAGUCUGGCUCUUACCUGUUCUAUUCCUGUAUUCCCACCAAACUUGAAGUUACGAAGUUAGAUCAAUUCAGGUGAAACAUUUUAGAUCUUAGGUAAUCUGAACUUCAUAGUGGUUCUUAUUAAGAGAUGCAAGUUUUCCUGUGUGUUGGUAUGUAGAUAGUCCUCAACUUAGCAAUGGUUCCACUUAGGAUUUUUCAACUUUAUGACAGCCCCAAAGUGGCAUGCAUUCAGUAGAAACCGUACCUUGGAUUUUUCUGGGAUAGCAGUGUGGUAGGACACCCUUAGGCUGGGCAACAAACUGCAACUCCUAGUCAACCAUGUGAUCAUGAAGAUAAACAAUGGAUAUACUUAAAACCAUUCUGUACCCAUACAGCCAGUCUGUUUCUCACUUUCAUUAUAGUAUGCAAUAAGUUAGAAGAGAUAUUCAACACUUUGUGUUAGAGGAUUUUGCUGAACUGUAGGCUAAUGUGUUUUUAGCACAUUGAAGGCUAAGCUAUGGUGUUUGGUAAGUUAGGUGUAUUAAAUAAUUACUGACUCAAGAUAUUUUCAACUUACCAUGGGUUUAUCAGGAUACAACCCUGUUGUAAGUUGAAAGAGUAAGAUCUCUAUAUGUAAGUUCCUCAGAAGCUAGGUGACUCUUGGUUGUCCUAAGAUUGAGGCACUAAAAAGCACAAUGGAAUCUCUGGAUGUGGCCCAGGAGUUUAAUUUUGUGCCACACUACCUUAUCAGGUAGUGACUUGGGCUGUUAAGGUGGGAUUUCUAGAGACAGUAGUGAUAAAUGUGUUAAAUUCAUCAAGUAUAAUUAGUCCAGCACAUCUUGAAUGCAAUUUCUAAGUUUUUGGGUAUAUUGACAUAUUACAUCUGGGGAAUACUUGACUAAUGAGUAUAGUGUUCUGUCCACUGGAACAAUGAACAAGAACCAAAAAAGUAUAUAGAUAAUUUGCAUAUAUAUUUCCUGGUAAGUUUUAUUUUUUAAUCAUUAUUUGCAACAAUUCUGGAAACAAUCUGAUAGUCCCAAGUCCCCACAACAAAAAUCCCACUUUGUAUUAUUAGAAGAGUUCUAGUUUCAAAGAGAUCUGUUGACCAUUUUGGAACUAUAAGUUCCUAAGAGAAAUUGAACUACUUGGUUGAGUUACCUUUGGUGAAUCUCAGUUUCUCAAAAUUCUAAGGAAGCUUCAGUGAAUUGACACCCCCACAGUAAGUCCCCGAAAUGGUAAUACAUUUCUGUGAGGAGACUUUGUACUGACAUACUCGGAGUCCAGAACACAACCCUGGAGGCUUAAGUUCUGUUUCGGAGGAUAGUCAGUAGAAGAUAACUCUGGACAGGGAAAAUAGGAAGGAAAUCCUUAAUUGCCAUUAGUGGAUGGAUGCCCAGUCCACAGAUCAUUCUGAAUUGUCUAUAUGAAUAUGCUGUAAUGUUUUUAGGGCCAUGGAUAUUUUGUGUAAUUAGUGAUUAUUCUGGAUUACCAAGCAGAGGUUCUUUGAAGAUCAGAAUUUACUUUCAGUUUUUAGUACUAGUGCUCACAUCCUCAUUUUAACCUACCUAAUGCUGUUUCACUCAAGUGUCUUUUCUUUCUUCCCUGGAACAGCUGUACAGAAGAUUCUGACCUUAUCUGAGGCUUGCAUGUAGGAGAAUAUCCAUUUCUCCAUUGAUUCAGAGAAGUAUUAUGUACUAAAACAAAUAGAAAGGAAAUGUGAAGUUUCUUUCCCUUGACACAGAUAAUGAACAUGUUAAUUUCUUAUAACAUUGCAGAACAUUAAUUUACCAGUUCAGAAUAACAUAUGAAAUACUUCUAUACCAAAAUGGAAUGAUCCUACACUGAAAAUACCCAUAAUAAGAUUCCUUAAAAACCUCUUCCAUAAGCAUCCAAUUUCCUAUAGUUUGCUCCAUUAUUUGAAGGGGAUGAAAAGGUGACCUGUUCUCGAAGUCUUCUAAAUUGCAAAAUUUUAUAGAGGAGGUUGGUUCACAUCUGUAAAUGUUGCCUGAGGAUGAUAUGAAUCCUUAAGUUAGCCCCUGCUCACCCUUCAAUGUGAAAAUAAUUCAGGAUCAAGUAAGAUCCUACAGAAUUAUAAGAGACUGGGACCUCUUGAGGGCAAGAACCAGAUUUCAUCAAACUGACGGUACCUAGCACUGUUCUUUCAAUUUUAAAAGCAAUGUAUUUUCUAAAACCUUUAGGGUCACUUAAUGUCUCUAUGCCUCAGUUGCCUUAUCUGUAAAAUAGGGAUAAGUGCACCUAUCAUGGGAUUAUGAGGAUUAAAUGAGUUAAUCCCUGUAAUGGUCAUUAGGAGGAUACCUACCCGAAGUAUUUAAUAAAUGUUAGUUUCUUCAUGAUCAUUAUUGUCUAUCUGAAACCCAUAUUUCCAGUACUGGAUUAAUAACCAAAUUGGCUUUUUUUGAAGGGGUUGGAGAUGUGGAAAGGAAUGGAAAAAGAAAUGUAGGCCUAAGUGCCAAUUCUCACCAACACUGAAAAACAGAGUGUGGUCUACCAACAGUAACCAGACUCUGAUUACAAGAUGACAAAGCACCCUAAAAGUAACAGACAAAAGUUUUAUACAUAGACACACAGAUGUGCACAUAUACACACACACACACAUAUAUAUAUAUAUAUAUAUAUAUAUAUAUAUAUAUACACACAUUAGCAAGCAAUAAAAGGGAACUUGUGAGUAAAGCAGAAUUUGUGAGGAAUCUCUGAAAGACUAAUACCACAUGGAAUUUGGAGAGCAAUCAAGGUAAAAGCACAUGAGAAAGUGCUGCCACAAAACUAUGACCAUCAAAGGUGCUCUAGACCUGGAGGAAAUGAAAGUGGAGGAUAAUUACUUAGAUGGACAGUUAACUGAAAGGAUGACUACACAAGCCAACUUCUCAGCCACACUCCUUGAGAUUAUCUGUCUUAAUAGAUAACAAAAUCCAAGCCGAGCAGAGAAAUGGAUGAGAAAACAAUACUAAGUGCCUUACUUUGAACUAUGUCCUGCCUGACCUUAACUGCUCCUGAAAACAGUAUAUACUGCAACUUCUACCCAUCCAGGGAAAGGAUCCCAUAAAUAGCAGUGGCAGAACAGUCUUAAUAGUGAAUAUGAACUGUAAAGGUGAGAACACAAGACUCCAAAAAUCUGAAUACCAACACCGUAAAAGUCAAAGAAGAUGUAGAAAUGAACCAUCUCAAGUAAUAGUGAAUGGAUGCACAGAAUACAGUUAACAAGACUGAAACAACAUUGCCAGAAGAAACAGGCAAAAGGCCCCACUAGAGAGCCCUCAGAAAUGGAAAAUAUGAUUGUUCAAGUUUAAAAACAACCAUCACUAACUGGACUGAAUGAUACAGUGGACACAGGCUAAACAUCAAAAUCUAGGUUGACUGAGAACUGUACAACUCAAAGGAAUAGAGUGAUAGAAAAUAUUGGGGGUGGGGGGAGGGUACAAACCAAAACAGGGUAACAGAAUGAAUGGUAGCCAAUGUUGAAGAAAUGGGCCAAAGUUUUUCCACAAUGAUAUUAACCCUAAGAUUUCAAGAACUCACUUGGCUGCCAAGACAAGUGGAGGGGGAAAAAAUUCUAAUCUUACAGCACAUCACAAUGAAGAUACCCUAAAACUUACCAGAAAAGGGAUAAGAUUACUGCAAAGAAAUGAUCAAAUUGACCAGGCAAAACUACCUGCCUGAAAACAGAAAGUGACCUUAAAAAGCUCAGGGAAAAUGGCAGAAUUCUAAGAUGGCCCCAAGAUUUCUUACCACCCAAAGACUUCAGAGAAAGAUGUCACAAAGAAAACAAAACAAGAUGGCAGGCAUAAUUCUAAACUCAUUUCUAGAAAGGGUAACUAGAAUUGUGAGGUUUUAAAAUGAUAUGUGCCUGGCAUGGGCAGGUAUUCCAAUAAUGCCAUCUCUUGUUUUAAUGGAAACAUUUUUGGAGUAUUUUCAAACAAAUUCCAGUCAAUUCACUCUUCUUUUCUAAAAGCAAUUCAUCACCUUCCUUUUUUUCUAAAAGCAAGUCAAACUUUUUUAAGAAACUUUAACCUUCUCUAAGGUGAUACUUUUUAUUGAAUUUUAAUCAUUUUUUUUACACUUACUUUCCCUUAUUGUCUUGUGAGGUAGCAAUGGACUCUUGAAACAGUAGGUAAUAUGACAAUUGAAAAACUAUACAUUCUCUUCGUCUAUUUAUAACCCUCUCAGCCUUUCAGUGCUUGCUCUCCAAAAUCCUCUCCUAGGUUCUAUCCUAAAACACACUUUGACCCCAUAUCUCUCCUGUCUCCUGCCUUCCCUUUCAUUUAUUCAUUAACUAUAAAGACUUAAUUACGAUACCAAGUACCCUAGGGACACUGGUGAGCAGAGUCAUGAUCCCUGCCCCUAAUGGGCUUUACAGGCAUUAUCUCAAAUAAUUGCAGCCAAUGUGUAACAGAAAAGAGAAGUGCUAUUUAGAGAAGUUAAUGGGAGUAUGUAAGAGAGCUCUAGGAAAAGUACCCCAGGUAAAGUGGUAGAUUUCAAAUAUGAAUAGAAAUAACUGAUGUCAAGGGGAAGAGAAUGGUAUGUAUAGAGAGGCCCAACAGGAAGCCAGAUAAAUUUGGCAACAGAACAGCAGCUAGGUAGUAUAGAGUAAGGAGGAUAGUGAAAAAGAACCAUGAACAGGUAGGAGCCAUCCUGUGUGGGUAGAGCUUUAGGGGUCCCUCAAUAAUACUUCCUUUCAAAUCAUUUUAAGUUAUAGUGGUGGGGAGCAGGUGUGAUAUAAGUAGCUUUGCAUCUUGAAAAGAUCACAAGCUACAGGGAUUGGAGAGAAGGAAGAAUUGAUUAGGCUAUUUCAGCAGUAUAGAUAAGGGAUCAUUACACUGGACUCUGAAAGUGGUAGAAAUGAAGACAGAGAAGCAUAUUUGAAAUAAUUAAGAUCAAAAGGACAAUGGGCUUAGAUAUGAGGACAUGUAGGUGAAGAAACCUGAGCCCUAGGGUUUUGGCUUGUGUGGGUUUCAGUGCUACUGUUCCUCUCAUCUGUCCACUAAAAAAAUAAACUUCAUUUUGACAAUUUCAGAUUUGGAAUAGUAGAAAGAAGUCCCAUAUACCCUUUACUCAGAUUCUGCAAAUGUUACCAUAUUUGCUUUAUCCUUCUGAACUCCAAUGAAAUUAAGUUGUUGACAUGAUGUACCUCUAUGUCAAUAUGUAUUUUUCAAAAACAAGGGCAUUCUCUUACAUGGCCACACAACCAUCAAAAUGAAAUUAAUACUAUUAGCUAAUUAUGGACUUCAUAGAAUUUCACCAAUUAUUCCUAUAAUGUUAUUUAUAGAAAACUCUGUUCACUCUGCAUUUGUCAUAUCUCUAAAGUUUUCUUACAUCUGAAACUGUUCCACUGUUGUCUUCCAUGACUGCAUGUUUUGAUGAAUACAGGCCCUUAAUUGGCUUUGCCUGGUAUUUCCUCAUGAUUAGCUACUAAUCAUUCAGUCUUCAAACCACUACAAUUUGUCUUUUCCCUACUUGUUACUUGAAGUCAGUUGUGCUUGCUUAAUUGCCAAUUCUGGACGACAGAGGAUAAAUACAAGCUCUGUGGCAACGCUCGCAAACAUCCAUCUACUUACCUUCACACGGUUUACCCUAUAAGAAUACCAGGCAUUCUGUAUAUACUUAAACACAUCACCCUGUCUUAUGGUUCCGUGACAAAUCACAUGUUUGUUUCCAUUUUAAAACCAAUAUGGGUCCAAGCGUUUGAAUCACCUGGGACCUUGUUAGAAAUCCAGAAUCAGACUUCAUUCCAGGAUUAGCUGAACCAGAAUCUGCAUUCUAACAAUAUUGCCCAAGUAAUUUGCACAUGAAAGUUUGAGAAACAAUGAUUUGGAACACUUUGCUCUUCUUCCUUUAAAUUCCAAUUGAGUAUUUAAAGCUACACCUGGCAUCACCAUCUUUCUGGAGUUCCUCUUGUCCUUUCCCCAUCACUCUGCCUUCCUCCAGGCAGAGAGUUCUAAACUCCCUCUCCUUUUUAGAAUGUUUUUGUCAUAUCUGUGCUCACAUCAUUUUAAUAGUUAUUUGCGUGUCUGCUUCCCCCUAUUACAUUAUAAUUUCUUUGAUUCCCUGUGAUUCACCUUUGAUUCUUUAGCACUUAGUCUGCCUGGCACAGAGUAUAUGAUCAAUAAAUGUUGAACUCUAGUUUUACUUAAUUCUACAGAAAUCACUUAACAAUAAAAGAAAAAAUAACAAGCGACUAUUCCAGACAUGCUUAUAUACGAUGAAACCUAAUUAACCCUUAAUUAUUUGGGUUUGGAGUGGUAGGGGAAGAAAAUAAGGGAGGAGAGAUCGAGAUACAGAAGACUACAUACUCAGAUGAUUUGCCUAAUAAUACAGCAGCACUCAUCUCAAAUGUCUUCCAUUCCUAGCUGUUAAUUCCCCCUGACUAGCAUGGCAUUGCAUUACUGGUAUGUUACCAUUAAUUCUGUGACUAACACAUUUACACUGCCCUAUCUUUUUAAGUCAAAUAGAUAAACAGAACAACAUUAGAAAAAAUAUAAUCACCUAAUCUCACUUAUCUAACAGCAUGUAAUUUCAGUUUUGCAUAUUCCCUUUCAGUUAUACAUGUGCAUACAUUUCAUAUUCACAUUUCAAAUGUAGUUUAACUUAUUUUUCAAAUUUGAUAAUUCACAAAUUAUUUUUUCAGAUGGUUGCCUAACACUCUUCUAAUUAGAGAUAAUAUCAUUUAACUAUUCCCUAGCUAUUAGAGCUGGUUGUUGUUAAUCAUGUUAUUUCUAUUAUGGUCAUUCUUAAAAUGAUCAUCUUCAUGCAUACAUAUUUUCUUUUUUAAAGAUCAGUCUAAGGAAAAAUUUCAAGUAGUAGAAUUAUAUCAUGAAAAAUUACCUGCACAUAACCUAUAUUUUCCUGCAUUUCUUUAGAUUUUUCUCCCCUAUGCAUAGGCAACUGCUGCUUGUCCUUAGUGUUUUCCACUUAUUUUUUUUUAACUUUUUACCAUGGAAAAAUUUCAACAAACACAAAUGAGGAAGAGAAGAAUAAACUCCCCUGUGCCUAUAUUCAUAACCAAUGAUUACAAACUGGUGACCAAUCUUGUUUCAUCUUUUUCCCCACCAACUUUUUUUUGCUGGCCUAUUUUAAAGCAAAUCCUGGACUGCCUAUCUUCUAUCUUGUCAUCGACGUAUGUGUGAGCUUGAAUUUCUAACAAACAGAUAAAAAGUGUGUGUGUCUUUAUGUAAUUACUACAUGCAUUACUACACAUGCAUGCUACAUCUAACAAAAUUAAUUCACUAAUACUCAACAGCCUGCAUGUUCAAAUUUCAAAUUUUUAUUAUCUCAAAAAUUUUGUGUGCUCGUACAGGUGACUUGUUCAAAUCAGGAUCCCCAAAAGGCCCACAUGUUACAUUUGGUUGAAAGAAGAAUGAACAUUUUUAUAUGGUUAUAAUCAGACCAUACACAGAAGUAAAACUUUUUUGUCCUUUUCUAUCACUUAACAUUCUUUAAUGUUUCCAUCCUUACAUGAACUUUUAAGAUAUUUUUAAAAGCUGUAUGUCCCACUGUGUUGGUUAAUCUCAUCUCAAUUAUGCUCUGUUUCCAAUUUCCCAUUAACACAAAUAGUGUUUAAAAUGAAUAUAUUUGUAAAUAUAAAUGAAUAUAUUUGUAUUUAGCAUUAGACUAGGUUAUUAGAAAUGGAUGUAUUGGGUCAGAAAACAGAGCAGUUUAGUAAACAUUAAUUGUAAGCAAGUGAACAAGUAAACAGUGUUUUUCUUCAAUGAGUUUAUUUUAAAAAAUAGGUAGUUUAAGGGUGUUGUCAUUCAUUUCCCAAUACUUUCCAAAAGGUUUGUAUUCUUAAUGCUACCUAAAAUAUUUGAGGGUCCUGUUUUUACUACAGUCUUGCCAGAAUUGAUGAUUAUAAUGUUUAAAUGUCUUAAUGUAAUCAGAAGAUAGUAAAUGUUUAGCAUGGUGUCUGCACAUAAGCACUCAGUGUAUGUUACUUAUGAUUAUCAUUUUCAUUAUUAUCAUUAAAUACAUCUAGUUUUUCUUAUAAUUCUUUUAAGACAUCAUUUUUAACAUUCAACUCUUUAAUCCAUCUGGAAUGUAUUUAAUGUUCACCCAUCUUAAAUUUAUUUUAAUGUGCUGUAUGUGGUAGAGAUCUCAAUUGUUCCCCCAAAAUCAUUGUUUAAUCCAUUGAUUACAAAGGAAACUUAGUUGUUUAAAACAUGAAUUCUUUGAGCCUGAUUGUUUGGAUUUAAAUCCUGGCCCUAUCACUUACCCAAAUGUGACUUUGAGAAAACUAGUCAAGGAGAAAAACAAUAGUGUUACUCACUUUACAUGUUAAAAUACUGUCUUCUGACAGGAACAGGGUAUUUCUAUUUAGGCACAUCAUCUUGCAUUCCUCAAUAAAACUUUGGAAGUUUUCUUUCGUGUAGACCCUUACAAAUUUAAUUAAUCCUAGAUAGUUUAUAUUUUCAUUGUCAAUAUCUCAAAAAUUCCUUUACAUAUUGUAAAUGGUUAUUAUUGGUAUUUAUAAAAGCUGCUGAUUUCUAUAAAUAUAUUUUAAAUUCCUAUACUUUUUCAGACUCCCAAUUUUAACAGGCAUUCAGUUGAUUCUUGAGUUUUUGAGGUAGAUGAUUAUUUCAUCUAGAAAGAAUUUAUCUCAGUUUGUAUGAAUUUUCUGAUGUUAGAAAGAUUUCAGCCUUGUAGAUGGUCAAAAUAUGUUGAUGUUUCUCUUCUUGUUUCCAAGCAUAGGCAAUGUCCCUGCCCCCAUUCAUAAUACUGAAAACAAUUUCAUUUUAAUUCUUCAAGUUUUAUUUUGUAAUUUUAGUGUUUUAUUUCAAGUUCUUGAAACCAACUAGAAUUUAUUCUGAUACAUGGUAUGAAAUAAGUAUGUAAACAAAAUUUCCCCCCAAAGACUAACAAUACUAAAAAUAUUGUUUACUGAAUAGUUCUCCACAUUCUCAUGAAUUUACAAUUCUUCCCUUACAUUAUAAAGUAUAAGCUAUAUAGUCUGCUUCAUGGAUUUACUUUCCUAAUUGUAUGCAAAAUCUAUGCUAAUAAUUAUUACAUAUUUUUGUCAUGUUUCCAUGUGUGGUUAAGAUGGAUUCUCUGAAUACUUCUUCCAGCAGUUACUUUGUAUUUCCCCAUUUAUUCUUCCCAGUGGGCUUUCCAAUUAUUUUGUUAAAAUAACCAAAUCUAUUAGAACUUCAAGUUAUAAACCAAUAAGAAGAACUGAUAUCGUUAUUAAUCUUGUCUAGGAAUGCUGUUUCUCUAAGUGUAUUUAGAUUUCCUUUUAUAUUUACUAAUAACAUUUCAUAAUUUUCAUUCAGUAUCACAUUUCUUCUUAAGAUCACUCCUGUGUAUUUUCUAUUUGUGUGUGUGUGGUAAUUUGUAAAAAGUGAAUAUUAAAAAUUAAGGAUUUA
This is an RNA transcript of Felis catus (domestic cat), 18726 nucleotides long. It is a transcript of the gene named ribulose-5-phosphate-3-epimerase, with no coding region annotated. Lineage: Eukaryota; Metazoa; Chordata; Mammalia; Carnivora; Felidae. The transcript is spliced from 10 exons. The record is from RefSeq and is a predicted model, not a curated record.